RNAcentral lists this ribosomal RNA (440 nucleotides) under uncultured bacterium. Its description in RNAcentral is "partial 16S ribosomal RNA". It matches the Rfam family "Bacterial small subunit ribosomal RNA", at positions 338 to 795 of the family's 1533-position model. The record is from RNAcentral.
CCUACGGGAGACAGCAGUGGGGAAUAUUGCACAAUGGGGGAAACCCUGAUGCAGCGACGCCGCGUGAGUGAUGAAGUAUUUCGGUAUGUAAAGCUCUAUCAGCAGGGAAGAAAAUGACGGUACCUGACUAAGAAGCCCUGGCCAACUACGAGCCAGCAGCCGCGGUAAAACGUAGGGGGCAAGCGUUAUCCGGAAUUACUGGGUGUAAAGGGAGCGUAGACGGGGCGGUAAGUCUGAAGUGAAAGGCAGGGGCUUAACCCCUGAACUGCUUUGGAAACUGCCCUGCUAGAGUGCUGGAGAGGUAAGUGGAAUUCCUAGUGUAGCGGUGAAAUGCGUAGAUAUUGGGAGGAACACCAGUGGCGAAGGCGGCUUACUGGACAGUAACUGACGUUGAGGCUCGAAAGCGUGGGGAGCAAACAGGAUUAGAUACCCCAGUAGUC